UGAACGCUGGCGGCAGGCCUAACACAUGCAAGUCGAGCGAGAAAGGUCUUCGGACUGAGUACAGCGGCGGACGGGUGAGUAACGCGUAGGAAUCUACCUGGUAGUGGGGGACAACUUGGGGAAACCCAAGCUAAUACCGCAUACGCCCUACGGGGGAAAGCGGGGGAUCUUCGGACCUCGCGCUAUCGGAUGAGCCUGCGUUGGAUUAGCUAGUUGGUGGGGUAAAGGCUCACCAAGGCGACGAUCCAUAGCUGGUCUGAGAGGAUGAUCAGCCACACUGGGACUGAGACACGGCCCAGACUCCUACGGGAGGCAGCAGUGGGGAAUAUUGCGCAAUGGGCGAAAGCCUGACGCAGCCAUGCCGCGUGUGUGAAGAAGGCCCUAGGGUUGUAAAGCACUUUCAAUUGGGAAGAAAGGUUGCGUGUUAAUAGCACGUAGCUGUGACAUUACCUUUAGAAGAAGCACCGGCUAACUCC
RNAcentral lists this ribosomal RNA (476 nucleotides) under uncultured bacterium. RNAcentral's name for it is "bacterial SSU rRNA". It matches the Rfam family "Bacterial small subunit ribosomal RNA", at positions 30 to 504 of the family's 1533-position model. The record is from RNAcentral.